This 429-nucleotide ribosomal RNA is filed under the name bacterium. Its description in RNAcentral is "partial 16S ribosomal RNA". It matches the Rfam family "Bacterial small subunit ribosomal RNA", at positions 355 to 776 of the family's 1533-position model. The record is from RNAcentral.
UAGGGAAUCUUCGGCAAUGGGGGCAACCCUGACCGAGCAACGCCGCGUGAGUGAAGAAGGUUUUCGGAUCGUAAAGCUCUGUUGUAAGAGAAGAACGUGUGUGAGAGUGGAAAGUUCACACAGUGACGGUAACUUACCAGAAAGGGACGGCUAACUACGUGUCAGCAGCCGCGGUAAUACGUAGGUCCCGAGCGUUGUCCGGAUUUAUUGGGCGUAAAGCGAGCGCAGGCGGUUUAAUAAGUCUGAAGUUAAAGGCAGUGGCUUAACCAUUGUUCGCUUUGGAAACUGUUAAACUUGAGUGCAGAAGGGGAGAGUGGAAUUCCAUGUGUAGCGGUGAAAUGCGUAGAUAUAUGGAGGAACACCGGUGGCGAAAGCGGCUCUCUGGUCUGUAACUGACGCUGAGGCUCGAAAGCGUGGGGAGCAAACAGG